RNAcentral lists this transfer RNA (88 nucleotides) under Sclerotinia borealis F-4128. It matches the Rfam family "tRNA". Rfam says of the family: Transfer RNA (tRNA) molecules are approximately 80 nucleotides in length. Their secondary structure includes four short double-helical elements and three loops (D, anti-codon, and T loops). Further hydrogen bonds mediate the characteristic L-shaped molecular structure. tRNAs have two regions of fundamental functional importance: the anti-codon, which is responsible for specific mRNA codon recognition, and the 3' end, to which the tRNAs corresponding amino acid is attached (by aminoacyl-tRNA synthetases). tRNAs cope with the degeneracy of the genetic code in two manners: having more than one tRNA (with a specific anti-codon) for a particular amino acid; and 'wobble' base-pairing, i.e. permitting non-standard base-pairing at the 3rd anti-codon position. The record is from Rfam by way of RNAcentral. Lineage: Eukaryota; Fungi; Ascomycota; Leotiomycetes; Helotiales; Sclerotiniaceae.
UCCGGCAUGGUGUAGUGGCUAGCAUUUCCGCCUCUCAUUCAGAAAAUGAUUAUCGCGGGGGACCGGGGUUCAAUUCCCCGUACCGGAA